Molecule: long non-coding RNA, 977 nt
Filed under: Bos indicus x Bos taurus (hybrid cattle)
Lineage: Eukaryota; Metazoa; Chordata; Mammalia; Artiodactyla; Bovidae
Description: lncRNA (ENSBIXG00000011327.1)
Source: RNAcentral
CACCUGGCAAGAGAAUGCCCUUAAAAGGGGAUAUUUUGUAUCCACUUCCUCUCUUUUCCUACAGGAUAGAAGGUGGAUGUUGCAGGGAGACUGUUCUGACCACGUGGCUUGAUUAGAGUUCCCUGAGGGAUGUCAGAACAAUGGAGCAGGAGGCAUCCGAGGCCCUGGAUGACUUCAUGGAGUGGAGCUACUCACCCUCUCCGAACCACUUGUCUACUUCCAGAAAGCGAUGUCAAAGAGAAGAUAGGCCUGCCUGGAUGAUCAAAACAGAUGGAAAAGAGGCAUAUGGGGCAAUAAUCCUGUUCCUUCGCCUCCUGUCAACUGGAAACUUCACAAGGGAAAAGAAAAAAGAAAAAAAAUGCUGCUAGAUCUUCAACUGUAAGUUUCAUGGGUCUAUUUAUUUUAAAACUGACAUUUCAAGUAUGGCUGUAUUGCUUAGUAUAUUAUUUCAGCAUAUCUGUAUCUAUGUUACUAGAUAAUGCAACUGUCUUUGAUACUUUGUACAAGUAAUACAAUAUUUUUGUCAAUGCAUGGUGGUAGAGUGUUCAGAGGUAAUUGGCAUCUGAGAAAGUGUCUUUAAAAACCUAAUGACCGUCUAAGUCUUGUUGGCAUUUUUCUUUACUUGUGUCAAGGGGAAAUCCCUCAGAAGGGGCACAGCAAACAUAUAAAAAUUUUAUUAUAAAGCUGCCAGCAUUUGACCUUAGAGCAGGUCCAAUUGACAAAGAAUCUGCAGGAUAUGAAACAUUCUCAUUAUGAUGUCAUGGCAACAUUACUCAAGUUAUUAAUUCUCCAAGUGGGAUGAUGGAUGUUAUAGGGUGGUGAGGUCCUUGGCAGAACAUAUUGCUUAAUUAUCUUCUUUUAGUACCAGCAGACAGUCAUAUGCCUAUGAUCAAGUACCAUUCCAGUGAAUAUGAAACGAAUUCAUAAGGAGAGAAUAUUUAAAGAUCUUAUCCAAUAAAAGACCAGAUUAAAUGUCA